UGGGGAAUAUUGGACAAUGGGGGCAACCCUGAUCCAGCAAUGCCGCGUGUGUGAAGAAGGCCUGCGGGUUGUAAAGCACUUUCAUUUGGGAAGAAAAGCAGUCGGUUAAUACCCGGCUGUCUUGACGUUACCUUUACAAGAAGCACCGGCUAAGUCCGAGCCAGCAGCCGCGGUAAUACGGAGGGAGCGAGCGUCAAUCGGAAUUACAGGGCGUAAAGCGCGCGUAGGCGGUUCGGUCAGUCGGAUGUGAAAGCCCCGGGCUUAACCUGGGAAUUGCAUUCGAUACUGCCGAGCUAGAGUAUGGGAGAGGGAAGCGGAAUUUCCGGUGUAGCGGUGAAAUGCGUAGAUAUCGGAAGGAACAUCAGUGGCGAAGGCGGCUUCCUGGACCAAUACUGACGCUGAGGUGCGAAAGCGUGGGUAGCGAACAGGAUUAGAUACCCCCGUAGUCC
Molecule: ribosomal RNA, 449 nt
Filed under: uncultured prokaryote
Description: bacterial SSU rRNA
Rfam family: Bacterial small subunit ribosomal RNA
Source: RNAcentral